UGGCUCUGGCAUCGAUGAAGAACGCAGCGAAAUGCGAUACGUAAUGUGAAUUGCAGAACUCAGCGAAUCAUCGAAUCUUUGAACGCACAUUGCGCCCGCCAGUAUUCUGGCGGGCAUGCCUGUCCGAGCGUCAUUUCAACCCUCAGGCCCCGCCUGGUGUUGGGGCCCCACGGCCGCCGUGGGCCCCGAAAAGCAGUGGCGGGCUCGCCAGGACCCCGAGCGCAGUGAUAUACCUCGCCCGCGGCGUCCCGGCGCGCCCCGCCGUUAAAGACACCCCCGCGCCCCGCGCGACACAAGGUUGACCUCGGAUCAGGUAGGAAUACCCGCUGA
This 330-nucleotide unclassified non-coding RNA is filed under the name uncultured fungus. RNAcentral describes it as "partial contains 5.8S ribosomal RNA and internal transcribed spacer 2". The stretch from base 1 to 133 matches the Rfam family "5.8S ribosomal RNA", at positions 22 to 154 of the family's 154-position model. The record is from RNAcentral. Lineage: Eukaryota; Fungi.